GAUGAACGCUAGCUACAGGCUUAACACAUACAAGUCGCGGGGCAGCAUGGGGGUUGCUUGCAAUCCCCGAUGGCGACCGGCGCACGGGUGAGUAACGCGUAUCCAACCUGCCCUUCACCACGGGAUAACCCGGCGAAAGUCGGACUAAUACCGUAUGUUGUCCAUUGACGGCAUCUGAUUUGGACGAAAGGUUUGGCGGUGAAGGAUGGGGAUGCGUCCGAUUAGCUGGACGGCGGGGUGACGGCCCACCGUGGCGACGAUCGGUAGGGGUUCUGAGAGGAAGGUCCCCCACACUGGAACUGAGACACGGUCCAGACUCCUACGGGAGGCAGCAGUGAGGAAUAUUGGUCAAUGGGCGUAAGCCUGAACCAGCCAAGUAGCGUGCAGGAUGACGGCCCUAUGGGUUGUAAACUGCUUUUAUGCGGGGAUAAAGUGGCCCACGUGUGGGUUUUUGCAGGUACCGCAUGAAUAAGGACCGGCUAAUUCCGUG
Molecule: ribosomal RNA, 490 nt
Filed under: uncultured bacterium
Lineage: Bacteria
Description: partial 16S ribosomal RNA
Rfam family: Bacterial small subunit ribosomal RNA
Source: RNAcentral